Molecule: ribosomal RNA, 301 nt
Filed under: uncultured bacterium
Lineage: Bacteria
Description: partial 16S ribosomal RNA
Rfam family: Bacterial small subunit ribosomal RNA
Source: RNAcentral
CAGCCGCCGCGGUAAUACGAAGGGGGCUAGCGUUGUUCGGAAUUACUGGGCGUAAAGCGCACGUAGGCGGAUAUUUAAGUCAGGGGUGAAAUCCCAGAGCUCAACUCUGGAACUGCCUUUGAUACUGGGUAUCUUGAGUAUGGAAGAGGUGAGUGGAAUUCCGAGUGUAGAGGUGAAAUUCGUAGAUAUUCGGAGGAACACCAGUGGCGAAGGCGGCUCACUGGUCCAUUACUGACGCUGAGGUGCGAAAGCGUGGGGAGCAAACAGGAUUAGAUACCCGCGUAGUCCCUGUCUCUUAUAC